This is a long non-coding RNA of Anguilla rostrata (American eel), 4341 nucleotides long. RefSeq lists it as uncharacterized. NCBI's taxonomy places the organism in Eukaryota, Metazoa, Chordata, Actinopteri, Anguilliformes, Anguillidae. The record is from RefSeq and is a predicted model, not a curated record. The transcript has 3 exons.
GUGUGCUGAUUUUAAGGUGAAAACAAAACCCAGCAGACUGUAGCUUUCCAGGACCAGGGUUGAAUGCCACUGUUCUAUGGAUUCCACCAGCGUUGCUCGGAACCAUUGCAAGUAAUCAAUUGCACAAGAUUACUCAAUCACUUGGGCAGGUGCAGCCGCGCUCGUGUUGAUUGACAGGCGGUCUUGCCAUUUUGAAAAGUGGCGUUAUAAAAAGAAAAACGGAGUUCGGAAAUGCGAUUAACAACGUUCAUUACUCCUGUAAAGUCUUGUUCAGCUCUGCAAUCAACCUAGACAACUAGAUGCAUCAAUCAAUCGACACCAAUGCUGGUGUGGGACUCGCAGUGACUCCUGGAUGGACAGAUCAUCGCUGCUGCUAACCUCUCCCAGACCACAGCCUCCGCCUCCUCCCGGCCCUGGGUAUCGCAUUGAGACUCUAAGGACUUUGUACAUCGGAAGGGGCUGAAGGAGCUUGGAGACGGUUAUGUGCUGACAGCACCAGGCCUUGGGUCUCAGGUACACCAACUUUCUCCACUUUCUGCAUCUUGUCAUCUGAGUGAUUGUCUUGUCCUUUUCACAGUCAUUGUGUCACAGGGUGAGCAGUUGAACCACCUCCUCAGGCUUCUGACUGGCUUCUCUGUUUGUGCUGGAAUCCACUCUCCAUCCACUUCAAACCAAGUGCUUGUCAUCCGCCUUGUCCUUUCCUCUCUUCAGUACCAGCCACCUUGAAUUGCUGGGGCUGAAGCUCACUCUUGCUUAGGCAGUGGAUCUGUCCAGGUCUUCAGACACUCAUCUCUCCUCUUACACUAACUAUGUAUUGAUGGUCAUGCUCUCCGUGAAUGUUCAUGUCGGUGGUUGUCACACCUUGGAUUUUGUCUUGGGUCCUCUGCUUGGUCUUUCAGCAGAGUUCACAAGGAUGUAAACAGCAGCUAUGAUGAACACCGUGCACCCUGUUACUGCCCAGCCUCUACUGUUUGGUAGUAUAGUCACAUACUGUUACCCUCAUCCUGAAAUCAUUAAAAAAAAAACUAAUAGAAAAAAAUAGAAAUUAAAAAUAAAAAUCUAAAAAAUUAGUAGAAAUAAUAUAACCGUGAUAAACCCAAACCCUAAUGUAUUUUAGAAAAUUAUAUUUAAGAAUUUACUCCUAAAUAGCAAUAAAAAUAAACAAGUAGGCUAAAUAGUAAUUUAGAAUUAGUUCAGGAUGAGGGUUAUAGUGUACGACUGUACAACCAGAGGCUGGGAGUGGCAUGGUUAUGGGGUGCACAGUGUCCAUCAUAGCUGUCGUUUACAUCCUUGUGGACUCUGAAAGACCAAGCAGAGGGCCCAAGACAAGAUCCAAGGUGUGGCAACCUCUGACAUGAACUUUCACAGACAGCAUGGCCAUCACUAGAUGGUCAGUGAAAGAGGAGAGAUCGGUGUUUGGAGACCUGGACAGAUCCACUGCCUAAGCAAGAGUGAGCUUCAGCCCCAGCAAUUCAAGGUGGCUGGUACUGAAGAGAGGAAAGGACAAGGCGGAUGACAAGCACUUGGUUCGAAGUGGAUGGAGAGUGGAUUCCAGCACAAACAGAGAAGCCAGUCAGAAGCCUGUGGAAGUGGUCUGGCUGCUCACUCUGUGCCAUGGUGAGUGUGAAGAGGACAACACACCGCCCACAUGGCUGGGUGGAGAAGGGUGGUGUCCCUGUAACCCAAGGUCUAGUGUUGUCCGCAUGCACUCCUCUAAACCCAUUCUGGUGUACAAACUCGCAGUCGAACCAGUGGACAGAAACAUUAGCAGCUAACCUCCAAAGAUUCCAAAAGCUCCAGCAGAAUUGACCGGCAGGGGAACAAAAUGGCAGAUGACUUUCAGAGAAGAGAUUGAGGACUGUGACUGCAAGAACAAAGGAAGGUGAGCAUCGAUCAAGGUUCACAUUGUGGCUCACAGUGAUUUUUUUUUUUCAGCUGAUGAAAAGACUUAACACUAGGCCUUAUUUCCCUGGAGGAUCCUUUGCAAAGCCAUUGGAUGAGGACUGGAGUUGGUGAAGGAGCACAAGCAAUACAAUUGUGCUGGAGGUAAUCACUGAAGGAUCAAUCACGUAAGGAUGAGUGCAUGGAGAACAGUUGGUCAUCUAGGUGCUUACCAGUGGAUGUGGGAAGAGGCUGGAGGACAAUGGAUACAGAGGAUACUGAGGAUUCCUGGAGCCAAGGAGCAGCAACAUACAAGACCAUGUGAAAAACGGAUAAACCAGAGAAAGCAAGAGCAUAAAACCAUAUUUGAAUGAAGAGUGGAGAGGAGUGGAUCGGCUACCUGGAUCAGGCCAGGCCAUUGAUAACAAAGUUGUCCUCCAAAGGGGGGGGUGGUGGUGGGCAAGAAAAAGGUUAGUGUUAGUCAGUGGAAGUAGACCAAGGUUAGUUACUCUGAAAGUACCUCUUCUUUUUCACCAUUUUGUGGUAAGUGAAUUCCAAUUCAAACAGGAGCCAGGCCGAAGCCUGGGCUAGACCAGCAAAAACAAAGAUGCCCUCCAAAGAGUGGGAAUGGUGGUGUGAAUUGUAGCAUGGCCCCCUGGUGGCUAGCCACUUUAGCUAGGCUCUGCUACACUAAUCUCUCCCCCUCCCCCCCAGCUGGAGGAGGACAAGCUGAGUACUGACGUGGUAUGAGAGGGUGGCUGGCUACGGCAGGUGAUGAAGACCAGAAGACCAGUUGAAGGGGGUGAGGUGGUCACAGUGUGGAAUGAAGAACCGUUGCCAGAAUCAUGUCCAAGAGGUGCAGCAGGAUUGUACUGGAGCCCUCCCAGUCACUGUGGAGCAUGUCACGGAAAACAGGUUUGAGGACCAUGAAUGGAAGCUUUUGGUGUACCGGUGAUCCAUGGAUGAGAAGCUUCACUGGAUGCAAUCCAUGAAGGUUCAUGUUGGUGGUUGCAGCACCUUGGAUUUUGUCCUGGGCCCUCUGCUUGGUCUUGCUGCAGAGUUUGCAAGGAUGUAAACCGCAGCUAUGGUGGACACUGUGCACCCUGUAACUGCCACCCCAACCUCUGUUUUGUAGUACAGUCACACACUUGUAACCCUCAUCCUGAACUUAUCUAAGUAGGUUAAAUAAUAAUAGUAAUAAUAGUGGUAGUAAUAAUAGUAGUAAUAAUAAUAGUAAUAAAUAAAAUAAAAAUAUUAAACUCUAGCCCUAGCCCUAAUAAAAUUAAAAUUUUAAAGAAAAAAUAAAAAUAGAAUCAAUAGAAACAAAAUAAUUAAAGGGUAAAUAAAAUGAAUAUAAUUAAUUAUAAAAAGGUUCAGCAUGAGGGUUACAGUGUGUGACUGUUUUACCAGAAGCUGGGGGUGGACACGAUUACAAGGUGCAUGGUGUUCAUCACAGCUGCCUUCUGCAUUCUCGUGGGCUCUGCAGAAAGACCAAGCAGAGGACCUAAAACAAAAUCCAGACAUGAAUCUUCACAGAUGGCAUAACCAUCACUACGCAGUCAGUGACAGAGGGGAGAUGGGCUGAGAUGACACUGAGGACUGGGACUGUAUGGACAAAUACUCCAGGUCAGCACUGAUCAAGGUUCACACUGUGGCUUACUGUAAUUGGUAGUGGAUGAAGAGGAGACUAGCCUUUUUCCACUGGAACAUCACAAGAGUGCGUAACAGUGGAUUAACUAUUUGGCUCAGGCCAGACUUGCAAUAACAAAGAUGUCCCCCAAAGAGGGGGGGUGGUGGUGGGCAAGAAAAACAAAGUACAAGAUCUUUUUCAACACAGCUGAACAGGUGGAAGACAGCAUUACACUGGCUUUAGCUGAAGAGUGCGUAACGGCGGAUUAACUACUUGGCUCAGGCCAGACUUGCAAUAACAAAGCUGUCCCCCAAAGAGGGGGCUGGUGGUGGGGAAGGAUAAAACCAAAAUGUACCAACAAGUAUUGUUGAAUGGAUGACGUUAGAUUCAACAUGGGUUGAGAAUGGAUUCAAAAAGCCAGCCGGAAAUGGUGGCAGGGUAUUGGGUUGCCUGUACAGUUCAUUCUGGGCCUGAUCAACCCAGUCUGUGUAUCCUUCAGAAAGUGUGUGUGUGUGUGUGUGUGUGAUGGCACCAAAACUCCUACUGAUGAAAGGACCUCAUCUGAGUCAUGGGAAAAGCCAGGAGCAGUAGUGUCAUUCUGGUGUGCACAUUUGAAGGGUAAGUAUGUAAAUUUCCCUUCCUGGAUUGUGGCCUUGUCGUGGCGGAAGGGCUUGCGAGGUCUUAUGAUCCCCAGAGCUAUGUCGUUGGGGGUAUUACAUGUCCCCCGGUAGGGUCUCCCAAGGCGAACAGGUCUGGGGUGAGGACCCAGACAAACAUGAUCCAAUCGACCCCUAACUGUGGUGAACAAUUACAACUAAGUUUACCUCCCG